RNAcentral lists this long non-coding RNA (1676 nucleotides) under Rhipicephalus microplus (southern cattle tick). Its description in RNAcentral is "uncharacterized LOC119181389". The record is from RNAcentral. Lineage: Eukaryota; Metazoa; Arthropoda; Arachnida; Ixodida; Ixodidae.
UCUGGCACAAAGUUUGCAAGUAUCCUACCCGCUCACCACGCUAACAAAAUUCGCUCACUACGCUAACCAAAUUGGUUCCUUCCCUUAUAAAUAUUGCCCUUUCUCACUCUUUGCAGAUGUUGUGAGAACUGAGAAUCGCAAUGGCUACGCUGAUGCAGAGUGUCAACAGAGGUCACCGUUUGUUCAGCGUCGGAGCUACAGAGAGUGAAGGCCCAACUUCGCAGCGUGAAGCAACAGCUUCAGUCAUGUCAGCGGAAACUCACAAAAGCGGAGGCGCACGCGAAUAGAAAGAAUGGAGUGUAUGCAGAUAUUCACAAGCUUUCAGACCGCGAGAAGCUCAUUAUAGACCAGUGCAUCAUGAAAGCAAAUAUGAAGUCUGCGAAAGCAGCACGGUAUAAAAAGGAAUGGCUUUACGAUUGUUUACUGCUGAAAAUCAAAUCCACAGCAGUUUAUACAUUUCUUCACGAGAAUAAUUUUCUGCCUCUACCACACCCUCGCACACUCUACUCCUAUCUGAAAAAUCUGAAGGCCGGCUUCGGAUUUGAUGAAAAUUUAUUGACAUCCUCAAAGACAAAGUGGAAAAGAUUCCAAAGAGAGAACGGCGAGGUGUCCUCAUGUUUGAUGAGAUGAGCGUGAGAAAGAGCCUUCACGUCAGGGAAUCGGAUAUGGCACUGCUUGGAAAGGUGGACUUAGCAGAGCACACGAAGCCGACUGACCAAGUGAAAGAUGGGGACCACGUGUUGGUGUUCCUUUUCCGACCAUUCCUUGGUGGCUGGUCGCAGACUGUCGGAGCGUUUUGCACGUCCGGGGCUGCACCAGGAUCCACUGUUGCCAAACUGAUCCUGCAGUGCAUUGUACUCCUAUCGAAUGCCGGCGUCAUUGUGGAGGCAGUCACUUGCGAUAACUCAACUUCGAACCGAUCAGCACUGAACUCCUUGGGUGUCAGUGGUGAUGUCACAAGAGUAUCAACAUCGUUUGAGCAUCCAUGUGACUCCUCCAAAGUCAUUCAGGCUAUAAUUGACCCGCCGCACAUCUUCAAGUGCAUCAGGAAUAACCUUUGAAGGCCGGAAAGUUCCUGUUGCCUGGUGACAAAGAAGUACAGCAUUCCCACUUUGAAGCUCUGCUGGACUACGAGGAGCAGCAAGCUGGACUUCGGGCUGUGCCAAAGCUUACGAAAGCUCACAUCAGCCCCAACGCUUUCCAAAAACUGAGUGUGAGACUUGCUGUCCAGCUCUUCAGUGAAAGCACUGCUUCAGCAAUGGACUUCUAUCGCAGUAGAGAAGAAUGUGUGAAACUUCGUGGCUCCAAAGCAACUUCGGAUUUUGCGAGGCGAAUGAAUAGUCUAUUCGACUGCUUCAAUUCUAAAAGGCCACAAGAUGUGCAGUACAAUGAAGCGGAACACAUUUCUACGCUGAAGGAGAACAUCGAAUGGCUUGACAGGUGGCACACUUACAACCAGAGUUUACCAAAGCAAAAGCAACUCUUCUUUCUCAGCAAGCCAACAUGCAAUGCUUUGAGAAUGACUUUGCACAGCACAGUGACGCUUGUUGAAAAGCUGCUGAAUUGUGGCUUUCGCUAUGUUUUAGUUGGCAACUUUGGACAAGACCACCUCGAGGUACAUUUAAACGUUUUUGCUCGUUGAAGACGUUUUCUUCACACUUUUAUAUUUUUCAGAG